This 490-nucleotide ribosomal RNA is filed under the name uncultured bacterium. RNAcentral describes it as "bacterial SSU rRNA". It matches the Rfam family "Bacterial small subunit ribosomal RNA", at positions 28 to 507 of the family's 1533-position model. The record is from RNAcentral.
GAUGAACGCUAGCGAUAGGCCUAACACAUGCAAGUCGAGGGGCAUCACAUGAAGUAGCAAUACGGAUGGUGGCGACCGGCGCACGGGUGAGUAACACGUAUGCAACCUGCCUUCAACAAGGGGGAUAACCCGUUGAAAGACGGACUAAUACCCUAUAACACAGGGGUCCCGCAUGGGAAUAUUUGUUAAAGGACAACCGGUUGAAGAUGGGCAUGCGUUCCAUUAGCUAGUUGGCGGGGUAACGCCCACCAAGGCAACGAUGGAUAGGGGAACUGAGAGGUUUAUCCCCCACACUGGUACUGAGACACGGACCAGACUCCUACGGGAGGCAGCAGUGAGGAAUAUUGGUCAAUGGACGCAAGUCUGAACCAGCCACGUCGCGUGAAGGAAGACGGCCCUACGGGUUGUAAACUUCUUUUAUACGGGAAUAAAGUGCCCCACGCGUGGGGUUUUGCAUGUACCGUAUGAAUAAGGAUCGGCUAACUCCGUG